This 211-nucleotide long non-coding RNA is filed under the name Capsicum annuum. RNAcentral's name for it is "long non-coding RNA (CANN_LNC013061)". Lineage: Eukaryota; Viridiplantae; Streptophyta; Magnoliopsida; Solanales; Solanaceae. The record is from RNAcentral.
AUUGUCCGAUUACUUAUUAAAGAGGAUAAUAAGGCUGCCGAGAGAAGGUCAAAAGGGAAUUCAACAAUUAAUGGAAGAUGACCAAAACAAUUCUAAGAAAAGAAAUAAAGUUGAACAAGGAAACAAUCUAAGAAGAAAUUCAAGGGAAAAUGCUUCAAUUGUGGCAAAAUUGGCCAUUAAACACGGAUUGUCGUUCCCCUAAGAAAGGCAA